Molecule: long non-coding RNA, 4716 nt
Organism: Rhinopithecus roxellana (golden snub-nosed monkey)
Lineage: Eukaryota; Metazoa; Chordata; Mammalia; Primates; Cercopithecidae
Exons: 3
Source: RefSeq, a predicted model, not a curated record
AGCCUUACUGAGAGCUAGUUUCUAAGAGUGACGUCAUUUCCAUUUUAAAAUUCCUAACCUCAGUACUUGUUAAAGGCGCACUCACAAAUCCAAUUUUUCCCUGUCCUACCGGGACUUUUCUGAGAGGGUACGUGUUAGACACCUGCUGUUUAGAAGGAAUGGGUAAGUUCUUAAUGUCCUUUUUACAUUGUUCUAAUUCUUUUCUUAAAUUUGAGCAAGGAUUUAAGGGAGCACUGGGUUUAUCUCCUUCAUGACCCCCAGAUUCCUUUUCCUCCAACCUUCCUGUUGCCCCCUGAUCUCCUUGUCCUCUACUUUGUGAGAUGUAUGGGCAGAGGGCAAGCGUGUUAGGGGAUCCCAGGGCUUUUCAUUGGUUGAGGGCUCUUUACUAUGCUCGUUUUAUUUCUCUUUAAGGGGAAACAUGGGGUUAAUUCACUAAUCCAACAAAUAGCAUAAACCAUCACCUCUUGUGAGGAUGGGGUUUUAUCAUUCACAUAAAGAAUUAAAGCAUGGCAUACACAGUCCUUAUUUGAGAUAAACUUAGGCCAAAAGACCAAAGGCUGAUGAAUGGGCUCUUUAGCCUGGAGAAAACAGCAAUACUUUAUUAUUUUUUGUUUUUCUUUAUUCCUGGUUCGGGGGUUAUUCCCCCCAAGCCUGUAACAUCCUCUCCAGUGGACUAUCUGGGGGUAUGCUGGAGGGGACCUCCUCGGCUUCCUCCUCUCUUUGUUCCCUAGUCCUAGAAUUCAGUUGCUCCCUGAGUCUGAGUUUCCCUAUAUGUUCAACCCCCCUUAUUGGAGGUGUCUUCGCAACAGGCAAGUCAACUGCUCUGUAACUGCUUUGUCUAUCUCCGGCCUUUUCCUUCCUGAGAGAACAGAACCAUGGAUUGGGUCUCCACACUCGCUUCAUAUCUAGGAUACGUCUCAGUCACACACACUUGACCUCCCAUGAUGCCCAACCACCAAGGCAGUGCUCAUAGUCCAAUCUUCCUACCUGGGCUUAUGCACAAGUUUGCCUGGUUGCCGCGGUGCCUACUUUUCUGUUUUUCCCUGUGUCACUUUUGUUGUCUUCUAAAUAACAGUUUCAAGUUUGUCUAUGGCUUCUGUGGGGAGCUGGGACAUCUGGACAGAAUGGGCCACAUGAAUCCAGUGGUACGCUUUUCCUCUUUCUGCCAAAAUCUCACUUCACUGCAAGCACAGUGAUCCCCGUACAGGCUACUAGAUUGUAAGAAACAAACUCACCCAUCCAAACCCCCAAAAAUGGACUCAGAGACACAGAGAACAGUGAAAGUGAGACUUUUAGUGACAGUUUUGCGAUAUCGGGUGUCUGGAAUGCAGGCACACCAGGGACGGUUUCAACAAACAAUUUAUUCCCUAGUGCCCACAUCCCUCCCCCAGUUCCUCAUUAGCUGAGUACUAUGGGGUUACAGUCUUUCUGGAUGUUGCCUAUUGUAGUUUGAUUAAGGCUUCCAUUAUGUACUUUAGAGUCUUUUUGCUGCAUUUUGUUGCAGCCCAUUAAUGCAUUGCGAUUGUCUCAGGACUCCUGAAACAUGUGACUUAUGGCCCUAAUGGUUGCACUUAGAUGAUAAGAAAGGGUACAAUUAUCUACUGUUGCAAGCUAGCCUAAACUAAAUUCUUUGGUGAGGUGGGGAGGGGGUCGUCGAGGGGGCCCCAACCAAUCAGGCACCUGGCUGGUGCAUGAAAAGGAAAGCAGGAAGGAGCUGGGGGAUGGCUUAGUACAUUUUGCUUUUUUAUCUCUUUAUGUCCAUGUGUCUCUUUAUGUCCAUGUUAAACCUAUACUAAGGCACAUAGAAUUGAAAAUGAACCAUCAUAUGUAGCUUAUUUUUGACACCCUUAAGAUCUGCCCAAGCCAAGGCUGGGCCAAGGCCCUCGAACAUCCAGCUGUGGCCUCCUCCUGCUGCAGGUGAGGAGUGGGCAGCAGGGAGGGCCAUGGUACCUGUUCUGUCCCCAUUCCAGUCUCUGUCUCUCAGGCUGACCAGGGUGCAUCUAGGUGGGUAUGUUGGGAUUGCAUGCUGAUUGCUGAGAGCCUGAAUGAUCAUAAUCUCAGAGGGAGCCAAUAGUAAAGGCAGCUGUGAUCUGGUGAGGGGUUAGAAACUAGAAAGGAAUCUGAGGAGAGGCAGAGCUUCUGAUCCCUUCCUAUCUGCAUCCCUCUCCCCUGUUUCUCCAGUCAUCAGGAGGACACCAAGAAAAAGACCCAUGAGACACAGACUGAGGGCCCAUGCUUGUAGUUCCCUUUGUGGGCUCCCUUGUAACAGGGAGGGUCCUGAGUGCACAUGGACCAUCCUCUGUCCACUUUGCAGCUCCCCAUUCGCCUUAUCCAGGAGCUUUCUUGGGGGUGUCAUGUCCUCUGGGUCACUCGAGGCCGUGCUUUUGCCAGGUUCCCACCAUGUGGCUCCUAUCUCCCUGUGUUUCUGUGCAGAUGAUGUGGAUGAGUAGAUAAGCAGAUGUCCCUGGGCUAUUUGGGGAGUGGGGACCAGCACCCUGCCAGGGCAGCUGUGGUCCCUGUUUUCAUCCUAUGUCCAGGUAUUACUUUUGCUAGCCCCCAAGGGUCAUAGUCCCCAGGAGCUGUGUUUCUGGGGCUUUGUUCCAUGCUCUGUGGCCUCACCUUGCCUUUCCUGAGCCAAUUUUUUCUUCUUAACUUAGUCGUUGUCUGGUAAGUUUAAAAUAGGAGACAGUCAGAAUUGUUUCCCCCACAAUCAGGUUGUUUGAAGGGAGAGGAAAAGAGAAAGCAGAAAGUUUUGUGUUUCUGCAAAGACAGAGGCAGUGCAGGGGACAGUGAGAGGCUGGGGUGUCCAGGAACCCCAAGCCUUUCUGCCAUUUCCCCAUUUCUGUGUGUCUGGUCAGUGAGGUGGUGGUGACUCAUCCUUGAACCGAAUUGCACUGUUAGUUGGCCCCUCAGGCCUUGGUAGAUGGGAAGGUUUAUCCCCUGUCCAGCAGGAAGAGGGCCCCAUCCAGGAGCCACCACAGCAGGGGCAGUGCAGGUCUGUGGUUGCUCCUGCUCUCACCUGUAGGGGGAUUGUCAAUUCUGCUUCCCUGUAGGCAGGAAUGGUUUCCUCAUAGGUCACUGGGAUAUUGGCCAGAAAAAGGGGAUGAAAAUCACAUGUUAAUUUCUCAAAAUUCCUGCUUUAAAUGUUGAUAUCCAUCAACAUAAUUUCAGCUGGAUAAUCUUAAUAGGAUGUCCUCCAAUACUGAUGUUGUAAAGCAUGUUGAAUGGAACAGGAACUCAAAUUUGGAGCUUCCUUUCUCUGAGGGUCCUUUCUCUGAGGGAGAUUGUGGCUGUGGCAGUGGCAAUCCCCAGGUGCAGAGGGUGGGUGGAGGCAGCCUCAGGAUGAGGGUUCUCAAGAAACCCCCUUACUCCACAAGGAGAAGGAGAAGAUCCCCUGUGAGCUCCAAUGGCAGUGGCCUGGGUGGAAUCCCUGCUAGGAACAUGCAGGAAGGCUGUGCAGCCUCACUAAAGCAGCAGGUUCUGGGGUGGAGCUGCAUUUCUAGGCGGGGGCAAUCACAGCCCAAGUGUAGGUCAUGGGGAGGGGUGGGCUCCUUGAGCAAGGGGGUCCCCAGCAUCAGGUCAGGUGCCGACUCCAUCCAGUCAUGUAUUUCCAUGUUGGUCCUUGUGAGCCCCAGGGCUUCCUGAUGGGAUCUCCAGUUAGAAGCUGCAUGCUUAGAGCCGGGAGGGGAGGAACGCUGAGCUGCCAGUGGAGGAAAGAACUCACAAUGUGCAGGGCCUGCCCUGGUGUGCAGUUGCCUCUGCAGAUGAGGAGGGCCUGGGGGCUGAGGUGGAGAAGGACCCUGUGUUUAUGUGACCGAGGCCUAGGACUGGAAGGACAUGUAGAUAGGGUCAGGGGCUCUCUUUGGAGAGGCCUCCCACUGUGUCAGGGCUGGUCAACCUUGAGAGGAAGAGUUUCCUCCUGGGUCUUUUCCUUUGUUCUGGGGUCCUUUCACUCACUGCACGAUGGGUGGUGGGUACAGGGGAAGUGCUUAUGUUGAUAGGAGUCAUGGUAGGGGGACUGGCAGGGGCUGGGAAAAGUACCAUGGGAGGGAGAAAAAAAAUGGGAAUGUCAUCUUCCCUCAGAGAAAGGGUGAAUUUAAUUUUGGAGUGACUGAGGAAGGAGAAGUCCUCAGGGAAUAAAAAGCAGCACUCUGCAUCCAGGGGAGCAUUUAUUGGUUUCUGUCUUUUCUCCAGAGUGUGUGAGACUACAAGGCCUGGAUCAGCACCCAGUUGGGACAGGAAGAACACCAGGGCACUGCACAGCUGGGAUUUCAGUACUCUGAUGUCAUCUCCUGGGUCCACUGGCUCCUACGCUCUGCAGCCAGGCAGCCUGGAUUCAGCUCCCUGCCUGGGUGUCACCAGCACUUUCACUUUUGGUGCCUCAGUUUCCUCAUCUAUGAAAUGGGGAAAUUAGUAGCAUUUAUUUCUUGUGGUUGGAUGAAUGAAAAGGGUGAUGCAGUGGCACCAGGAAUAGGGAUGGAAAUAAAAGUGCCAGAAACAGGAACUAUCCCUAAGCAAAAACCAUAACUAUAUUUUUAUACCUGUAUAUAAGAAUUCCCAAGCAACUCAAGGAUUGUGCUGUGCCUUCAUUUCAUCUGACAAAGUCAGGAUUAACUAAGACACCACCACAGCUACCCACUUCUGGAAGGUUCUGUACUCUGCAGAUCUGGUCCCCACAAGCUCUGUGUCCUGGAUUUGGUCCUCCCCAUCCCACUG